Danio rerio (zebrafish) is the source of this 115-nucleotide ribosomal RNA. The record is from Ensembl. Lineage: Eukaryota; Metazoa; Chordata; Actinopteri; Cypriniformes; Danionidae.
GCCGGCAGCUAGCUCUCUGCAACUCUUACAUGAUCGCCCACUGAAGUUAAGCAGGGCUGUGCCCGAUCAGUACCUGGAUAUGAGACCACAUGGGAAAACUAGGUUGCUGCUGUAA